CCAGAGUGCCACUUUGAAUGGUUAAUUGGAGAUAAGUGUCUCACGGAGACUUUCGUUUCUGUCUGGGCUGGCUUUGAACUGUAAUCCUCAGAUCUCAGCCUCCUGAGUAGCUAGGAUUAUAAGGCCUGAGCCCUUGAUGCCUGGUUGUAUCACUAACUAUAAAAACAUUUGCUGGUUGUUGAUGGUGACAAAUGUGGUACAUGAUCAUUAUUAAAUGUUUUAAAAAUUACAAAAACAUACAGUAAAGGAGGGAAAACCUAUAUAAUCAAAUUAUCAAAAGCAGCUACUAUUCACAGCUUAUACUAUAUUACCUCUACAGCAACUUUAUAAUUUUAUAUGGAAUGGAAUCAGUAAGCCAAUCUAUGGUGUGAAUGAGGCUACAGUUAUGUAACUACCUUCUCAUCCCAAUUUUGGUUUUACUUCCAUAUUACAAACAUGGAAUCACACCUGUUUUCAAACCUCUAGUAACUAGCCUAAUCUAACCAAUUUCUCUGUGAAGCACUUCCACAAUGUAACUUUCUAAUGAGGGAAACAGAAAGACAAGUAACUAUAAGGUAUUGGUAAGUGAAACAAGUCAACACAAGGAGGAAGGGCUAAGCAACUGCCCAGCACAUGUUCUAAAAGCCUUGGAGGAGGGUCUCUUGGAGGACUGUCCCUUUCCUGUCCACUUCUGGGGCUGAGAAAAGACACUUGAACAAUAACUUCAUUCUGGGGCCAUCCCAAUUUCUACAUGCAGGCAUCAGGCUGUUUGUGGCCAGUGCCACUCAGUUUCACUCCUUCCAGGGGCUAGCAGCCAGUCACCCAGAGAUGCCUGAAGGGCUGACACAGGACGUUGGCAAAAAAUUUGUCCCCUGGGAUUGUGGACCAAAUACUCCUAUGUCUGUUUGAGACUCCACCUUUGAGCAUAAACAGGGUGCCUGCCAUGUGCAACCCAAAGACUCGACUCAAACUCAAGGCCCAUCCAUGGUGCCUUCCUGAGGUACUCUUCCGCUUGCUGAAGUCAGAAAGUGGAGCACCAGUUCAUCAUCCAAGUAUCUCAAUUAAAAUCCUCUAACCAGCAGUGCUUCUAACUCAUCAUAUCUCACAUUUGCCAUUUCUCUCCAUCCCCACUAGCUUAUCCUACUAGUUCUCCUCUGCAACAUUCUAGCAGUUUUGAAACCAGUCCCGUUGACGCCUCCAUUUUAUAUUCCUUCUGAUCCAUUCCUAGAAGGGCAGCUAGGGCAAAGGGUAUGGCCUCGGCUCCAGGCCCAGCCUCCAUCGCUCCGGUUCCACAGGCU
Long non-coding RNA from Perognathus longimembris pacificus (Pacific pocket mouse), 1277 nucleotides. RefSeq lists it as uncharacterized. The record is from RefSeq and is a predicted model, not a curated record. NCBI's taxonomy places the organism in Eukaryota, Metazoa, Chordata, Mammalia, Rodentia, Heteromyidae. The transcript is spliced from 3 exons.